UGGGGAAGGAGGACUUCAUAUAGGUAUAGAACUGAUAUACAUUGUGAUUUUUUCAUUGGGACUUCCUAUAAGCAUGAAACUAUAAACUCCUCUUAAAGUUGGUUGUUUAUAUGUUAAGAACUUUUUAUUUUAAUAAGUUUGGAUUUUAAACUCUCUUGAUUUUUUUUAAUUUUUGCAUACUAUUUUUGAGUAUAUUUUUCUUAAAUUUUGUUAUUUAUCACUUGAUAAAAUAGGCAGAGAUGACGAACCAAAGUUGGAUGCAUCGUAGGAUU
Molecule: long non-coding RNA, 272 nt
Filed under: Elaeis guineensis (African oil palm)
Lineage: Eukaryota; Viridiplantae; Streptophyta; Magnoliopsida; Arecales; Arecaceae
Description: long non-coding RNA (EGUI_LNC016501)
Source: RNAcentral